CACUAUGAUACGAUGUAACAACAGACUAGCUAAUCUUUUGUUUAUUUCCCAGUCAUUUAUUGUGCGUCUACCAUGUGCCGGACACUGCACUGGGCACUGGAGAUGCAGUAGAGGAUAAAACAGACAAAAGUCCCCGUCCUUGCGGAAAUCUCCUUGCAGGGAUGGAUGGACAGGAGGAGAUUAUAAAGAGAUAAAUACGAUGAGGCUGGAUGGUAAUGCCUGGAGAAGAAGGAAGUAAAUAGAGGAGGGGCAGGAGACACAGCUGGAGAUAGGGUGCUUGGAGAAUGUGCACGGAUGCCUGGCAUGUGCUCUGAGGUGAGGGUAGUUAUUUCUGCCCAUUUUCCAAGUGAGGGAACUGAUGUUCAGCUGUUAGUUGAAUGAAUAGCCUAAGGUCACCCAGAUUGUGGCAGGAUUCAGAUUGUAGUAAUUUAGAUUUGCCUGAUGCAGUAUUUAAGCUCUCAACUGUUCGUAUUUGGCACAUUAUGUUUUUACCUAAUAGUUUAACUUGCUUUCUCACCUCGUGGCUGCCCCACCCCAACCCCCCUGGCAGAAAUGAUUGUCCCUUUUAUGGAUGAGGAGAUGGAGGCCCAGGAAGUAAUCUGCCAACAGCCCUACCAAGCCCAGGAAGCCGGCUGGACCUCCGUGUCUGCAUGUGAGCUCCAGAUUCUGAUCUGAGCCUCUAGGCUCCGGGAUGGAGAAAGGGGACCCGAUCCUCCCAGGCAGAGGCGAGAGGAGACCAGCGGAAAGGAAGAGAUGUCGGUUUGAACAAAUUGACCAGUAGAGAUGAAUACAAGGAAAAGGUCCAGGCCUCCUCCCCGAAGCUACGCCCUGCAGGGAGCGCUGCUGUUGGCAGGCUGGGGAGCAGCCAUUUGGAAUUGUUCUCCAGUCGCCUGCCCCUGUGCACGUCUCCUCACUGUAAGCAUCAAUGACCCAACUGUAUUGAAAAGUCAAAGCUGGGUCAGAGGAUUCCUCCUCCUGGGCACGUCUCCAGCUUCUCACAGCCUUGACGCACCCGUCAAUGACGCAAGCCAGGAAGCUGCUGGUCUGUCCUGCGAACUUCCCUGGGGUCUUCUCCAUGCGAGCGCAGCAGUGCCCCUCCCGUGCUCUGGUGCCCAACCCCUGUCCUACUUGCAGACUGUUGUCAUCACUGCAGGCGUCGUGUUUAGCUUUCAUAAAGCCUUCCUGACAAAUCCGUUCUGCUCUUUCCUUAAUCAUUCCUGCUGCGAUUCUCUAAACAACGCCCGAUUUGUUGACAUCUCCAGGGAUGUUCAACUAAGAGCUGUACAUAGAAUCCAGGUGCAGUUUCAACAGCCCCAGAUAAAGAGGGAUCAAGGCAGCCUCUCUCCUCGGAGGCCAGGGGGCUCCAUGGCCCAUGUCCACACCCUGAAAGCUGGGUGGGUGGAGCCAAACUAUCACAGACAUUUUUUGNNNNNNNNNNNNNNNNNNNNGCAGUGGCAUGAUCUCGGCUCACUGCAACCUCUGCCUCCCAGGUUCAAGUGAUUCUCCUGCCUCAGCCUCCCCAGUAGCUGGGAUUACAGGUGCCCGCCAUCACGCCCGGCUAAUUUUUGUAUUUUUAGCAGAGACGAGGUUUCACCAUGUUGGCCAGGAUGGUCUCGAUCUCCUGACCUCGUAUCACAGUAAUUUUUACCAGUGUGACGGCACUGUGGAUAAUGCUGGCCAAGGAGGCUUCACUUGCCCUCAGUGCUUAGAUCGUUUUAUUGUUUCUUUGCUUAUUAUUCUGUUGGUGUAUGCUCACCAUUAAAAAAAAAAAAAGAGUACAUAUAUACAAAAAGAAAAAGGGAAAAAACACCAUCUGUAAUCCCAACCCCUGGGGACAACGACUUAUCUUAGCAGAUAGCGCCUGUCAUCUGAUCAAGGGCAGGGCUAAGCACGUAGAUUCUGGAGUUAACCACAGGAGUCCAGGUCAUUUAAUCUCUCUCUGCCUCAGUUUUCUCAUUUCAAACAAGAUGCUAAUAAUAGUACCCACUGCUGUGAAAGUAAACAGUUCCUACUAUAGAUACGACAGGAAGACCCCAAGAUAACAAGAUAAACGGCGUUCAGAGGCUCCUACGGGUGGUCAGGAAUCAAUGCUUUCCUCCUUCCAAGAGGCUUUCUCUGUGCAUUUGUCACUUAAAAAAUUGGAUUACACUGUUUGUAGUUUCUUGCUCAACCUGGCUUUCGUUUUCUUUUUUUUCUUUUUCUUUUUCUUUUUAUCUUUAUGCCACAUUGUGGGAGCUGGUGCCAUGAGUCUAGGCACUUAACGCAAUCCGCAAAGAUUCCGCCAUCAGGCGGAUCAUGAGGUCAGGAGUUCAAGACCAGCCUGGCCAGCCUGAUGAAACCCCAUCUCUAUGAAAAAUACAAAACAUUAGCCGGGCAUGGUGGCGCACGCUUGUAAUCCCAGCUACUCAGGAGGCUGAGGCAGGAGAAUUGCUUCAAACCCAGCAGGUGGAGGUUGCAGUGAGCCGAGAUCAUCGCACCAUUGCACUCCAGCCUGGGCGACAAGAGUGAAACUCCAUCUCAAAAAAAAAAAAAAAUCUGCCACCAGCUGCCAAGGGGUCGUGUUCCCGAGACACCUUCACUGUUAGACCCUGCACACUUGUGCAUGGCAAGGAGAGGCUCCAGAAAUGUUAACUUUUUCUUUAGAAUUUUCCUGAGUUGACUUCUCCUCCAAACAUUAAACACAACAAGCCCACAUAUCUGAGCUUCAGCUGCAAGUGCAAAAUGCAUCCCUUGAUUGAUGCAGGAGACACGUUUUGCUAGAAGAAAGUCCAGUGUUGGCCUGGCGUGGUGGCUCAUGCCUGUAAUCCCAGCACUUUGGGAGGCCGAGGCGGGCAGAUCGCCUGAGGUCAAGAGUUCAAGACAAGCCUGACCAACAUGGAGAAACCCCGUCUGUACUAAAAAUACAAAAAUUAGCUGGAUGUGGUGAUGCAUGCCUGUAAUCCCAGCUACUCAGGAGGCUGAGGCAGGAGG
This is a long non-coding RNA of Pan paniscus (pygmy chimpanzee), 2970 nucleotides long. The record is from Ensembl. NCBI's taxonomy places the organism in Eukaryota, Metazoa, Chordata, Mammalia, Primates, Hominidae.